GAAAUGCGAUAAGUAAUGUGAAUUGCAGAACUCAGUGAAUCAUCGGAUCUUUGAACGCACCUUGCGCCCCUUGGUAUCCCGAGGAGCAUGCCUGUUUGAGUGUCAUGAAAACCCUCAACCCUAGAUUGGUUAAAACCUUUCUUUGGUUUGAAUUUGGACGUUUGCCGAUGAUAAGCCGGCUCGUCUUAGAAGUAAUAGCUGGAUCUGCCUCGCGACAUGGUUUGACUUGGCGUAGUAAGUAUUUCGCGAAGGACAUCUUCGGAUGGCCGCGUUGCAGGACUAAAGACCGCUUUCUAAUCCAUUGAUCUUCGGGAUUAAUAUUCUUGACAUCUGGCCUCAAAUCAGGUAGGACUACCCGCUGAACUUAA
This 368-nucleotide unclassified non-coding RNA is filed under the name uncultured Naganishia. Its description in RNAcentral is "sequence contains ITS1". The stretch from base 1 to 105 matches the Rfam family "5.8S ribosomal RNA", at positions 50 to 154 of the family's 154-position model. The record is from RNAcentral. Lineage: Eukaryota; Fungi; Basidiomycota; Tremellomycetes; Filobasidiales; Filobasidiaceae.